CAUCUAUAACUUUCUUUUACAGACCUGUCAGUUCUACCCUGAGGGAGUUGAAUACGCCGAUGCAAGAAGUGCAGACCGUCAGCGGGAAUCGGGAGAGCCAGGUAAAAAUGCACCCGCUAUGGAUGUGAUGAUCGUUGGAGCAUAGCUGUAUGAGGUGUUCCGAUCUCAAAAUACCACAUUCUACACACGUAGGGUGCAUUACGUUCCGGUUCGGAUUGGAGAACCUGGAUAAGCUCGCCGGAGAACGCUUCCUCCUUCGUUUCGACAUACUUGCCAUUCUCAACUUGUUAAGCCUCAUCUUGUCUAAGUGUCGACCAUAGCAAGGUAAUUCUUGGCACGUGUGUAAAACGAGAUUUUAAGAAAUCUCGCGCUAAAAACUCCUCUCCAAUUUUACUUGACUGAAAUAACAUCUGUUUUUUUCCCUACCAUUGGUUCGCAAUAAAAUUACGCAAAAAUAAAGUCUUUUUAAACUUUUUAAAAGAUUUCGUCACUACUUGUCCUAAACAGUACCAAAAUUAGAAGUUAUAUGUUAUUAAGUUUGAUAAACUUUACGGGAGGAGUCAAUAUAGCCGUCAUUACCAUGUGCUCUAAAUGAACUUUAACCUCACAAAGUUUAAUAACAGAUUGCUCAAAUUAUUAAUAGUAUUUUUAUUUUGCUAGUGUUUGUAUUUUGUAUUACGAAGGGGAAGAAAUAUGGAUUUAAUAAGACAAUUAUGCCUCUAACUUUUGAUGGCAAUAAAUUUUCUUAUUUAGUAUUUUAGCUGUUAUUAUAGAUUCCUCUAACUGACUGUCGAACCAGAGUGAGAUGCGGCAACAAAUACUCAGAUAUCAGACAAAUGCAAACGGAGUCCUGCAAGGGAGCAUUUUAGGUCUUGUCGUGUUUAUCAUUUUCAUUUCAAACACCCUAUACGCCCUAGCGGAUGACUUGGCAAUUCAUCUUAUAGCCCGAAUCCUAUCCAAGAAAUAUCCCAGAAAAUCUUGAGAUUAUCAAAUAAUGGGGGAAAAGUGGAAAAUAAGACUGAGGAAAAAUGUACCCAGUCUAAAUUUAUAAUGAAAAUGGGAAUCGCCAUCUAGCAUGCGUCAACUAGGAACUACCGAAUUCUAUU
Long non-coding RNA from Cimex lectularius (bed bug), 1106 nucleotides. RefSeq lists it as uncharacterized. The transcript has 2 exons. The record is from RefSeq and is a predicted model, not a curated record. NCBI's taxonomy places the organism in Eukaryota, Metazoa, Arthropoda, Insecta, Hemiptera, Cimicidae.